UACAGAGGGUGCAAGCGUUAAUCGGAAUUACUGGGCGUAAAGCGUGCGUAGACGGUUACAUAAGUCGGGUGUGAAAGCCCCGGGCUCAACCUGGGAAUUGCAUUCGAGACUGCGUAGCUAGGGUGCGGAAGAGGGAAGCGGAAUUUCCGGUGGAGCGGUGAAAUGCGUAGAUAUCGUUUGGAACGCCAAUGGUGAAAACAGGUUGCUGGGAGUGUGCUGACGCUGAGACACGAAAGCCAGGGGAGCGAACGGG
RNAcentral lists this ribosomal RNA (253 nucleotides) under uncultured bacterium. RNAcentral's name for it is "partial 16S ribosomal RNA". It matches the Rfam family "Bacterial small subunit ribosomal RNA", at positions 524 to 776 of the family's 1533-position model. The record is from RNAcentral.